Molecule: small RNA, 3269 nt
Filed under: Pongo abelii (Sumatran orangutan)
Lineage: Eukaryota; Metazoa; Chordata; Mammalia; Primates; Hominidae
Description: retained intron
Source: RNAcentral
GUCAGCAGUACAUUAGACUUAAGCUUUGCAUUCCUUGUGUUUUUUUGUUUGUUUUUCUCUUCCUGGAAAAAAGUUUGCUUCUCUCAUACCAUCUGACUUACUUCCAGGCUUUUCUCCCUUGUGGAACGAGUGCCGUUGAGCACUGCUGCACUCUCAGACGGGCUCCUCCGAAGUGCUGCAGGUAGUGGUAAAUAGACUCUUACCCCAUUGGGAUUGCUUCUUUGUUUCUCACCCCCAGUUAGUUCAUUUGUUGCUCUGGCUACAGGAGGAACGAGUGAGGUUCUGGUUGGCAUCUGCUAUGCCAUGUCACCCCAGCUUCUAGUGCCUCCUGUGUGUGCCCAUGAUUGUGAGUGUGGGCCAUGUGUGUGAGGCCGCAGGUCUCCCUGCAGCCACUCUCCUGCUGGAGCUCUGUUACUGGCACCCGUCGCUGCCUGCACCGAAGGCUGGCAGCACCUCCUGGAGCUUGGGACCCAGAGCACAGCCUCCCACCAUGAGAUGUGUUGUUUUUCUGUGGAUCAGUCCUCCUUUCUUUCUGAGCCUGGCGUGUUUUGUUCUAGUUUGUUACCGUCCUAAGUGCCUGUAGGCCCUGCUCUCCAGGGACGAGACUCGGGCUCUACCCCCAACUCAGAACCCAGAGCAACAGUGGUCGGGCCUGGGCCCACAACAGUGCUCAGCUGCCCUGCUGCCUUUGUAGUUCAAGAAGUGUCCAUUGAUGAGGGGAAUGGUCCUGGCUCAUGCUGGAGUUCCUGACUCGCAUCCCUGUGGAGGUGAACUUCCUCGUCAGGGCGGAGGCCUGCCAAGCAGUCCCCCCAGGCUUCUGUUGCUCACCUUUGCCCAUUUUUAUUAUGAAAGAAAACCAGUUCCUCGAUAGAUACCAGGACCAUCAGCCUCAGGCCUGGAGGAGGAGAGGAGGAUGAUUUGGGUUCAGGCUGUAAGAGGUGUGCCACUGAGAAGGAAGGAUGCUGUGAGCAGGCUUAACUGAGCUCAUGGUUCAGUAGGAGUCGAGUGUUCUCAUCACAGGCUUUGGUGGAAUGUACUCUUGACGUCUGUCCCCAGGAGCCUGGUCUCCAGAAACACCAGCUCAGGCCCUCAAGGUCUGGCUCUGAUGUCUGUGGGCUAUAGGAUUCUGAUCUGUUAGCGAGGUGUGUUCAGAAGUGUGUUGAGGACACCAGUGCAGGAGAGCAGCCAGUAGAAUAGAAAGGUCUGGAAGCAGCAUUCUUGGCAAAUCUUCUAUAUUCCCAAUGCCCAGACAGACCUGGAAGUGCUGUGGGCUUGAACAUGUGGGUGGCCUCCCCUCCCAGGCUGCCCUGAGCUGCCCAAGGUUUCCUCGCCCUGGUGCUCCUUCUUGCAGAGGCUACACGUGCCCUCUCCACCUGCCCAGGCACUGAGUUUCUUUGUUGCGAUCACCUUGUCUGUUGUCCCUCUGUCCUCAAAGAUGAUCACGGAAGCCUUGGCCCAAGGUGGGAUGCACAUAAGAGCCCGGUUCCCGCCCACCACCGCUGUGUCCACCGUCCCGUCAAGCUCCAUCCCUUUGGGCAGACAGCCCAUGGCACAGGUCAGCCAGAGCAGCCUCCCCAUGCUGUCCUCGCCGUCACCGGGCCAGCAGGUGCAGACCCCGCAGUCGAUGCCCCCACCCCCCCAGCCGUCCCCGCAGCCCGGCCAGCCCAGCUCACAGCCCAACUCCAACGUCAGCUCUGGCCCUGCCCCGUCCCCCAGUAGCUUCCUGCCUAGCCCCUCACCGCAGCCCUCCCAGAGCCCAGUGACGGCGCGGACCCCACAGAACUUCAGUGUCCCCUCACCUGGACCUUUAAACACACCUGUGAACCCCAGCUCUGUCAUGAGCCCAGCUGGCUCCAGCCAGGCUGAGGAACAGCAGUACCUGGACAAGCUGAAGCAACUGUCCAAGUACAUCGAGCCCCUACGCCGCAUGAUCAACAAGAUCGACAAGAACGAAGGUAGGCUGCAGCCAGGGCACGAGCCUGCACCCUGGGGACACCGCCGGGCUUGUGUCUUAGUGUACCCUCUUCUGUCCCAGACAGAAAAAAGGACCUGAGUAAGAUGAAGAGCCUUCUGGACAUUCUGACAGACCCCUCGAAGCGGUGUCCCCUGAAGACCUUGCAAAAGUGUGAGAUCGCCCUGGAGAAACUCAAGAAUGACAUGGCGGUGCCCACUCCCCCACCGCCCCCGGUGCCACCGACCAAACAGCAGUACCUAUGCCAGCCGCUCCUGGAUGCCGUCCUGGCCAACAUCCGCUCACCUGUCUUCAACCAUUCCCUGUACCGCACAUUCGUUCCAGCCAUGACCGCCAUUCACGGCCCACCCAUCACGGCCCCAGUGGUGUGCACCCGGAAGCGCAGGCUUGAGGAUGAUGAGCGGCAGAGCAUCCCCAGUGUGCUCCAGGGCGAGGUGGCCAGGCUGGACCCCAAGUUCCUGGUAAACCUGGACCCUUCUCACUGCAGCAACAAUGGCACUGUCCACCUGAUCUGCAAGCUGGAUGACAAGGACCUCCCGAGUGUGCCACCACUGGAGCUCAGUGUGCCCGCUGACUAUCCUGCCCAAAGCCCACUGUGGAUCGACCGGCAGUGGCAGUACGACGCCAACCCCUUCCUCCAGUCGGUGCACCGCUGCAUGACCUCCAGGCUGCUGCAGCUCCCAGACAAGCACUCGGUCACCGCCUUGCUCAACACUUGGGCCCAGAGCGUCCACCAGGCCUGCCUCUCAGCCGCCUAGCCAAGACUGCAGGGAUGGCCCGCAGCCUCAUCGGGGCCAAGGACACACGCCUCGUGUCAGGCACUUCUAGGUGUUGGCUUCCUUAGAGAGCCUGGGUUUAGGUUAGCUUUCCUGCUUUUAUCUUCUGCCUUGGGGACCUGCCAAACGAAAUCCCACACCUGUACAGAACUGGGAUAGGCGCAGUGGAGCGGGCUGCUUGGGGGGUGUUGGCCGACUUCUUACAGAAGGCCCUCCAUGUGACUUCCUCCAAGGAGCCAGAUGCGAUCCUUGGGCUGCUCUCACUGUGGCCUGUCCACGGUCCAGGUCCAUCUCAGCAGCGUGAGGGUGCACUCAGGGUGUUGUUAGAGCGUCUCGUGUGUGCUAGACACACCCCUACUCGUUCCUAUAGGAGAACACAGAGGACAUAGGAAACCCUUAAAACACACAUGGGAUUCUCUGGUCACAGUUUUGGGUUCAGGCUACGCUGCUUUGGGCAGGUAGGGCACCCUCUGGGGAAGCCCCCAAGUCCAGGGCACAGGCUGCCUUUUGGAGGGAGGGCU